Molecule: long non-coding RNA, 686 nt
Organism: Pogoniulus pusillus (Red-fronted tinkerbird)
Lineage: Eukaryota; Metazoa; Chordata; Aves; Piciformes; Lybiidae
Exons: 3
Source: RefSeq, a predicted model, not a curated record
ACGACAUUGUGCUGAGACUGCACGUGGCAAGACAUCCUGCCUGCACCUGAAAGUCUCCUGCCAAGAUGGGAAGUCCUGGAGAUACACAGAUCAUCCAGAGGAGCCAGGAGACAAGGUCAGAGAUUGUCUGCCUCCUUUCCCCAGAAGCCUGGGAAGAAUCAAGUCUGAAGACAGAGCUCCAGGUGCUGCCUGAGUCAUACUUUGAGAAAACUAUGUUUGUGCUACCUCAAGACCAUGGCUGCAGCGUGGAACAGUCCCUGCACAGAAGAGAGAUCAGCACUGAAAACCAAACAAGCACCAAGGACCAAAGAAGUACCAAACAAGCACCAAGGACCAAAGAAGUACCAAACAAGCACCAAGGACCAAACAAGCACCAAACAAGAAACACUCUAAGCAGAGCUGCUUCUUCCUCCCUGCUCCCACUUGCCUGGCUGCAGUCAGCACAUCCUGGAUGCAACGAUGACAAAGGAAAGCUGCUUCCACAAAUGUGGUGUAAAUAUGAAGAUGAGAGAGGAACAAUCAGAGACAGAGGAAAUGGGAAAGGACACUUGGACUCACACAAGCUGCCAGAUAGAGAAAGCUCAGCUGGUAAUGAACAGUGAUGGAAAGAGAAGUGGGCUCCCAUCCAGAGAGGAAGGGUAAAAAGCAAAUGCUGCUGCUGCAUCAGCCAGAGUUACAAGGCUUCG